RNAcentral lists this ribosomal RNA (505 nucleotides) under uncultured bacterium. Its description in RNAcentral is "partial 16S ribosomal RNA". It matches the Rfam family "Bacterial small subunit ribosomal RNA", at positions 28 to 507 of the family's 1533-position model. The record is from RNAcentral.
GACGAACGCUGGCGGCGUGCCUAAUACAUGCAAGUAGAACGCACAGUUUAUACCGUAGCUUGCUACACCAUACACUGUGAGUUGCGAGCGGGUGAGUAACGCGUAGGUAACCUGCCUGGUAGCGGGGGAUAACUAUUGGAAACGAUAGCUAAUACCGCAUAAUAUUAAUUAUUGCAUGAUAAUUGAUUGAAAGAUGCAAUUGCAUCACUACCAGAUGGACCUGCGUUGUAUUAGCUAGUAGGUGAGGUAACGGCUCACCUAGGCGACGAUACAUAGCCGACCUGAGAGGGUGAUCGGCCACACUGGGACUGAGACACGGCCCAGACUCCUACGGGAGGCAGCAGUAGGGAAUCUUCGGCAAUGGACGAAAGGCUGACCGAGCAACGCCGCGUGAGUGAAGAAGGUUUUCGGAUCGUAAAGCUCUGUUGUAAGAGAAGAACGGGUGUGAGAGUGGAAAGUUCACACUGUGACGGUAUCUUACCAGAAAGGGACGGCUAACUACGUG